CCUACGGGAGGCUGUAGUGGGGAAUAUUGCACAAUGGGCGCAAGCCUGAUGCAGCCAUGCCGCGUGUGUGAAGAAGGCCUUCGGGUUGUAAAGCACUUUCAGCGGGGAGGAAGGCGGUGAGGUUAAUAACCUCAUCGAUUGACGUUACCCGCAGAAGAAGCACCGGCUAACUCCGUGCCAGCAGCCGCGGUAAUACGGAGGGUGCAAGCGUUAAUCGGAAUUACUGGGCGUAAAGCGCACGCAGGCGGUCUGUCAAGUCGGAUGUGAAACCCCCGGGCUCAACCUGGGAACUGCAUUCGAAACUGGCAGGCUAGAGUCUUGUAGAGGGGGGUAGAAUUCCAGGUGUAGCGGUGAAAUGCGUAGAGAUCUGGAGGAAUACCGGUGGCGAAGGCGGCCCCCUGGACAAAGACUGACGCUCAGGUGCGAAAGCGUGGGGAGCAAACAGGAUUAGAUACCCCAGUAGUC
Molecule: ribosomal RNA, 465 nt
Filed under: uncultured Klebsiella sp.
Lineage: Bacteria; Pseudomonadati; Pseudomonadota; Gammaproteobacteria; Enterobacterales; Enterobacteriaceae
Description: bacterial SSU rRNA
Rfam family: Bacterial small subunit ribosomal RNA
Source: RNAcentral